UGGUCGGUACAAUACGGGGAUGAAGUCAACACCCGGUUUACCGGUUCCAAAGAUCUUGAACCUUUAAUUUACCUUUGCUGAAACUAAUAGGUUAUCAUAUAUGCUGAUUACUAAUAUAAAUCUAAACUAACGACUAUGGUGAUGUGUGUUAUUUUGAUCUGAGAUCAACCGGAACCCUAUAGAGUUUUAUUUAUUUAUGAAUUAUAAUUAUUUUUAAAUUUACAAUUUUUAAUUUGUUGGGAAAUUUUAUUGGGGUGAUAAAAAAAUAUAUUUAACUUUUUUUAUAUAAUAUAUAUAUAUAUAUAUAUAUACAUAUAUAAGUGGGUAAUUGAUCCACUUUUAUUGAUUAUAAAAAAAAGUUACCUCAUGGAUAACACCGCAUUUUAUUUUUUUAUAUCAUAUAUAAAAAUAUAUUUGCGACCUCUCUGUGGGAUAUAGAUAAAAAUUAAAUGCGAAAGUUUAAAUAUUUGAUCUGUGCUAUCAUAAAAAUCUCACACGAGCUGAGAUCACCCCGGGAGUGGUUCAUCAUGCCUGGAACUUUCAAUACCCC
This 550-nucleotide ribosomal RNA is filed under the name Spilarctia obliqua. RNAcentral's name for it is "partial large subunit ribosomal RNA". The record is from RNAcentral. Lineage: Eukaryota; Metazoa; Arthropoda; Insecta; Lepidoptera; Erebidae.